AGGCCCGCACAAACGGUGGAGCAUGUGGUUUAAUUUGAAGCAACGCGAAGAACCUUACCAAGUCUUGACAUCCUUUGACAACCCUAGAGAUAGGGUUUUUCCUUUGGGAGCAGAGUGACAGGUGGUGCAUGGUUGUUGUCAGCUUGUGUUGUGAGAUGUUGGGUUAAGUCCCGCAACGAGCGCAACCCUUGAUUUUAGUUGCCAUCAUUUAGUUGGGCACUUUAAGGUGGAUGCCGGGGGCAAACCGGAGGAAGGGGGGGAUGAAGUCAAAUCAUCAUGCCCCUUAUGACCUGGGGUACACAAGUGGUACAAAGGGCGGUACAAAGAGGAGCAAGACCGCGAGGUGGAAGUAAUCUUAAAAAACCGUUUUCAGUUCGGGAUGUAGGUUGGAAAUUGCCUUCAAGAAGGUGGAAUUGGUAGUAAUCGCGGAUUAGCAUGCCGCGGUGGAUAAGUUUCCGGGCCUUGUACACCCCGCCCGUCACACCACGAGAGUUUGUAACACCCGAAGUUGGGGGGGUAACCUUUUGGAGCCAGCCGCCUAAGGUGACAAGAAACUUCCCGCCUAAGGUGGACAGAAGGGGG
Molecule: ribosomal RNA, 582 nt
Filed under: Bacillus cereus
Lineage: Bacteria; Bacillati; Bacillota; Bacilli; Caryophanales; Bacillaceae
Description: bacterial SSU rRNA
Rfam family: Bacterial small subunit ribosomal RNA
Source: RNAcentral